RNAcentral lists this ribosomal RNA (17 nucleotides) under uncultured Basidiomycota. RNAcentral's name for it is "partial 5.8S ribosomal RNA". Lineage: Eukaryota; Fungi; Basidiomycota. The record is from RNAcentral.
GCAUCGAUGAAGAACGC